Molecule: ribosomal RNA, 465 nt
Filed under: uncultured bacterium
Lineage: Bacteria
Description: partial 16S ribosomal RNA
Rfam family: Bacterial small subunit ribosomal RNA
Source: RNAcentral
GACGAACGCUGGCGGCGUGCUUAACACAUGCAAGUCGAACGGAAAGGCCCUGCUUGCAGGGUACUCGAGUGGCGAACGGGUGAGUAACACGUGGGUGAUCUGCCCUGCACUUCGGGAUAAGCCUGGUCAACUGGGUCUAAUACCGGAUAGGAGCCAUUUUUAGUGUGAUGGUUGGAAAGUUUUUUCGGUGUAGGAUGAGCUGGCGGCCUAUCAGCUUGUUGGGGGGGUAAUGGCCUACCAAGGCGGCGGCGGGUAGCCGGCCUGAGGGGGUGGACGGCCACACUGAGACCGAGGGACGGCACAGGCAGCGACGGGAGGGAGCAGGGGGGAAUAUUGACCGAUGGGCGCAAGGCUGAUGAAGAGAGGCCGCGUGGGGGAUGACGGUCUUAGGGUUGUAAACCACUUUCGCAAGGAACGAAGCUUUUUGUGACGGUACCUAGAUAAGAAGCACCGGCUAACUACGUG